Molecule: long non-coding RNA, 1658 nt
Organism: Helianthus annuus (common sunflower)
Lineage: Eukaryota; Viridiplantae; Streptophyta; Magnoliopsida; Asterales; Asteraceae
Exons: 3
Source: RefSeq, a predicted model, not a curated record
GACAAGUUACAGCCGCACACACUCGAACCCUCUCUGUCUUCUCUUCUGCAAUUCCGGUGACCGGAGACAGCUCCGGCCGCUGCUUUUCCGGCAGCUCAACCUCGCACACCACACCCCUAUCUCCUUACAUCACCUUCUUGUACCACCCAGCCCUUGUUUCUUCGAGUAGAUGGCCAGCCACCGCCAUGGCGGCGCACAUGGUGGCGACGAGACAGAGUGGCGGAGAGAGAGAGACAGAAAUCUGAGAGAGAGAGGGAGACAAUAAGAGAUAAAGAAGGGGGUGGCGCCGCCGCUGCGGCGACGGCGACGGAGCCGGUGACGGUGAUUCUCGACGGCAGCGGACCAAUGGCUCCGGUUGUGUUGAUGGUUGACGGCGACAGUGGUUGUGCACCGGCGACGACUGACAGGGAAGGUGGUUCAGUUCGGAUGUCCGUCGGGUGUUUUGGUUCAGCCUGGGUCACGAUACAGUUCAACAUCAGGGUCAGUCUGGGCUCGGGUUAUUUUGUGGUUAUCUCGACUCAGUUUUGGGUUCAACGUUGGUGCUCGGUUCAGUUUCGGGUCGCGCGGCUCGAGUUCUGGUCAUGUUAAUCAACAACAGGAUGGUUUCGGGUCAAGGUUGGAGUCGGUCAAUUGUAGUCAACGGCAGUCAAACGGUCAACUCAAUUCGGUCCCGGGUCAACACAGUCAAAAGUCGGUCAACAGAAGAUCGGUAACAAAUUUAAACGUUGCAUAUUAUAAACUAUGGAACGAUUGGAAAUGGAGAACCCAUGGGGAUUCGAGUACUUAGCAGGCGUUCAAUUUCUAAAAGUCUUAGAUCAAACACUUCCGCUGUACAUUGAAUAUACCAGUCCAGUCACGCCAGCUCUGAUAUUUCGGGGUGUGACAGAAAGACUAAUGUUACUUGUUAUGAAAGCAAAGUACCAACCGCCAUCAUAUGACUGUUUGUUUGGGCAAGGUUCCAAUUCUGCAACUGUGUUUUCUGAACAACAAUUCGCAGCUUUUGAAGCUCAACUCUGUUCAUCUCUAUGACCUUGCUGUUGUCAUUCGAAUUUAAGAAAAUCUCAUUGUUAACAUAAAACAAUCGAAAUGUUGAAGAGAUUGUGAAUGACUUAUACAUUGAUAUGUAAAAGAGAUAAGAGACGCAACAUUUGUUUGUAAAUAAAGCUUAUUUGAUGGUACAUGGAGUAAGGCCACACGUACGUGAAGCUUUCGCCUCUUGCUUCGUGUUUUAUUAAAACCAAGAUAACAACCCUGAGGUAAAAUUAGGGGUGUUACUAAUUGGACCUUAGACACAAAAAUAAUACAGUUUUGGGUUGGCCAUUCUAAACCAUUCAGAAUUUGAAUAAAAAUAAUUAAAAACUAUAACUUAUAAGUUCAACCCGCCAGCCCGUUUUCCAGUUUAUUACAACCCGCUAAAGAUCCAUUAUUCCAUUUACAAUAUGAUUACUAUUACAACAUACGUACUACUUGAUUACAACCCGUUUUGGCUUUUCCAUGUCGUUUAGAUAAACGGGUUACAUGGUUUUAUACAAGUUGACGUUGACAACUUUGCUAAGAAUAAAUACGCGUGUUGUGUUUAGGCUGGUCAAUUUCAACCCGUCAACCUACCAACAAGACAGGAUUGCCACCCCUAUACAUUAGAUUUCUAUUAUUUGUAA